This 1211-nucleotide unclassified non-coding RNA is filed under the name Homo sapiens (human). RNAcentral describes it as "leukocyte immunoglobulin like receptor B4 (ENSG00000278555.4)". Lineage: Eukaryota; Metazoa; Chordata; Mammalia; Primates; Hominidae. The record is from RNAcentral.
AGAGAUGUCCACCUCCUGAGGCCCAGACCCUCCCAGGGAGACCCAUUUUGGACUUGUGACCUCCGGGACGAGAACCUGGUGCCUGCCUCAGCCCUAGCUCUGGGGAAAUGAAAGCCAGGCUGGGGUUCAAAUGAGGGCAGUUUCCCUUCCUGUGGGCUGCUGAUGGAACAACCCCAUGACGAGAAGGACCCAGCCUCCAAGCGGCCACACCCUGUGUGUCUCUUUGUCCUGCCGGCACUGAGGACUCAUCCAUCUGCACAGCUGGGGCCCCUGGGAGGAGACGCCAUGAUCCCCACCUUCACGGCUCUGCUCUGCCUCGGGGACCCUGGAGGCUCGGGAGUACCGUCUGGAUAAAGAGGAAAGCCCAGCACCCUGGGACAGACAGAACCCACUGGAGCCCAAGAACAAGGCCAGAUUCUCCAUCCCAUCCAUGACAGAGGACUAUGCAGGGAGAUACCGCUGUUACUAUCGCAGCCCUGUAGGCUGGUCACAGCCCAGUGACCCCCUGGAGCUGGUGAUGACAGGAGCCUACAGUAAACCCACCCUUUCAGCCCUGCCGAGUCCUCUUGUGACCUCAGGAAAGAGCGUGACCCUGCUGUGUCAGUCACGGAGCCCAAUGGACACUUUCCUUCUGAUCAAGGAGCGGGCAGCCCAUCCCCUACUGCAUCUGAGAUCAGAGCACGGAGCUCAGCAGCACCAGGCUGAAUUCCCCAUGAGUCCUGUGACCUCAGUGCACGGGGGGACCUACAGGUGCUUCAGCUCACACGGCUUCUCCCACUACCUGCUGUCACACCCCAGUGACCCCCUGGAGCUCAUAGUCUCAGGAUCCUUGGAGGGUCCCAGGCCCUCACCCACAAGGUCCGUCUCAACAGCUGCAGGCCCUGAGGACCAGCCCCUCAUGCCUACAGGGUCAGUCCCCCACAGUGGUCUGAGAAGGCACUGGGAGGUACUGAUCGGGGUCUUGGUGGUCUCCAUCCUGCUUCUCUCCCUCCUCCUCUUCCUCCUCCUCCAACACUGGCGUCAGGGAAAACACAGGACAUUGGCCCAGAGACAGGCUGAUUUCCAACGUCCUCCAGGGGCUGCCGAGCCAGAGCCCAAGGACGGGGGCCUACAGAGGAGGUCCAGCCCAGCUGCUGACGUCCAGGGAGAAAACUUCUGUGCUGCCGUGAAGGACACACAGCCUGAGGACGGGGUGGAAAUGGACACUCGGG